Molecule: long non-coding RNA, 14282 nt
Filed under: Medicago truncatula (barrel medic)
Lineage: Eukaryota; Viridiplantae; Streptophyta; Magnoliopsida; Fabales; Fabaceae
Description: long non-coding RNA (MTRU_LNC005523)
Source: RNAcentral
UUUCUACCCAAUAUGCUAAGUGUGCUUCCAUUGAAAUCUCCAUCAGUGAAUGCCAUGGUCAUCACCAUCAUUAGUCCCAUCUCCUCUUGUGAUAUUGAAGUGUAAAUUCCUUGAGCCUUACCCACAAGUUUCGAGUCACGUUCAGGACCAGCAGUCAAUGGGUCAUCCAUGGCCACAACGGUCCCGAAUGGCAACGCAUUUUUUACCUUGCCAUUGGGCUCAGCUACAAAUACCAUGCUAGGUUUUGGUCCUGACACGAUGUCGUGAAAGUAAAAGUGAAGGUGAGUGAAUUUCUCUUCUUGAAAACCCAACAUUGUUGGGGAUAGGUUUUGAUAGUAAUUAGUGGCAGUGGCAAGGGAUAUUAUAGAGAGGAAAGUAAGGUUCAAAGAAAUUAGAAGAGUUAUGGAGAAUGUUGAGGAUUUUGCCAUGGUUGAUGCGAAUGAACAAAGAAUGUAGUUUUUGUUGUUGAGGAUAAUGAACUAAGAAUGCUUAUUGCUUAUUUCAAUUCGUUGUAUACAUGCCUAUUUAUAAUAGGUGUGGCUGCUUUGUUCAUUUGUAUAUAUUGAUUUGUCUAAAGCUGAAGUUUGUUGACCAAAAACUUUUAGAUAUAUGUCAAAAUAUGGUGGAAAAAUGAUAGACGCCAGAAACAUGUAAAGCGUUGUCAACGAAACAUCCGAGAAAUAUAGUGGAGAAAAAAAUAUAACUCAAUCGUAUUCACUCAGACUAAUGACUUUUUUUUUUUUUUUUAUGGGAAACCAUCAUUUUUGACAUUUUGGCUUCCUAACAUUAGUGGUUGUUAACAUUAUACAUAGAGUUUAAACAAUCUUGCAUAACAAUGUCAUGUCUUCCUUUCAAUAAAAAAUAAAACAAUGUCAUGUCUUCUAAGUCAUGUUUUUUACUUCAUGAAUAUUGUAUUUAAGAGGAUUGAUUUUGCAAUCUAAAAAGGUCUAACGACACAACUUGUUAUUUGUCUGUCUUCUAUUCAUGUUAAUUAAAAACGAGUCUUUUAUUAUGCGGCAACUUGCAUGAGUGGUUGCGACAUCCUUUACUGUGUAUGGACAUCUCUGUAAUUUUUUUUUUUUUUUUUUGCGGCAGCUUGCAUUUGUUUUUGGUUUUGGUGACACCGUAAAAACUCUAGUUGGCCUCCUUUAGCACAUCUUGGAGAGUCACUUUCUAUGUGUUAAUAUAAUCUUAUUUUGACAUGUUAAAAAAAAAAAAAAAAAAGUCAACUAAAUCAAGCCUUCCUAUUAAAGAAAAAAGUGAACCAAAUACCACGCAUUUUUUAUGAGCCAACCGUAAAUAAAUUUUCUAAUUAGUGUUGCAUCAUUUGCACCUCUAGAAGAUAUGAGGUGGCUCAUAUUUUCGUCAUGGUGUGAAAAAGAUGUUUAAAAGGCGUAUAAAGAAUUUUUUUUCCGUCAUUCAAAUUCAAAUGCUGGAAAUUUUAUAAACGGGAGAGGAAUGUUAUUUUAUUCAACAGAGAAGAGAACUUAGCUAGCUUCCAGUGUUAUGGGGUGUGUAGGACUUGACCGAAAAUUUAAUAUUAGUGCCAAGCCUUUGGUUGGAGGCUGCUAUAUAGAUAUGAUUGUGGCCGGUACAUUGGACACGUACAAAACUCAAAGAAUAGAAAUCAAAUUUGAGUAUUAGAUAGACUAUUACUCCAUUAGAAUAGAAGAGUGGGGUAUUAGUGUAUUACAUUAAUAGAUUAUUAUAGUUAAAUAUAAUUUUAGUCUCCAAGACCAAGGCUUAAGAUUUUUAUGUCCCAAACAAAUAUCUUUUUAAUAAUUUUAAAUGUUUUUCUAUUUGUAUCUUUUGUUGUAAAAGAUUUAUUUAGUGUUAAGCUCAUGAGUACAUAACUUUUUAUGGUUUAAUGCUGGUAAGUGUAUUUGUUUGCAUUCAUUUUCUGCAAAUUCAAUACGGAAACUUUUAGUUAUGACGUUAAGGGUUGAGUCAUGAUGUAAUUUUAUUGAGUACGUCAAGGAUUGAAAACAACAAUUUUAAAUUUGUUUUUACAAAAAUAAUAAUAAUAACUGCAGAGAUUGAAUUGAAACAAAAAAUAUUAUAAGAAAUGAAGCCAAAAAAUUUCUAUAAUUGACAGAACUAAAAUCAAAUUUAAAUCCAUUAAGAUUGUUAUAACAUCUAAUCGAGUUGCAUAGAAAAGACCAACAAACUAUUAGUGUGUCGAAUAUGAACCACCCAAAAUGAUCCAAAGGUAAACAUUUUCCAUUAGUAAACAUAAAUCAUAAUAUAUAACAAAAUAUAGAAAAUAAUAUCUUGUUAAAAAUUACUAUAAACUAGGUCCUUACAAACUAUUAAAACAAUUAGGUUUUUUUUUUUUUUUACAGAAUAUUAAGACAUUUAGUUAUAUUUAUUUACAAUUGUAUCAUUAAAAAAUGUUGAACCUAUCUUAUCUAUCAUAUUAUUUAUCAUUUUUUACUACUCAUUUAUUAUUUAUUGUUAGUUAUAAAAGAUAUGUAAAAAAAAUUGUAGGCAUUUAAAAAAUUAUAAUUAAUAGAAUUGAAAAUUUGAAAUGAGUCAAACAAAAAGGACAACAAAUUUUUUAUUUAGCUAUCUUUUACAAAUAUUUUUCUUAAUAGUCCUCUUAAACUUGAAGAUGAACAACAUAACAAUUGAUCAUGCCGGAUCUGGAGAUCUCUAGUUGGUGAUGGUGAAUGCCUUUGAAGGUUGGAUCUUCGUCACUAGCAACCUUCUUCUUCAGAGGAGAGUUUGCAGUUUUCGUACAUACUUCCACAAUGAAGUCAAUAACUGGACAAUGAGCAUACUUGGACCAAUGUCAUGAGUUAAUGGAUUUAGGAUUUUAGGGUGAUAGAAGAGGUUUAGGGUUUUGCCCUUGAAUUGUUAACUGGACAAUUGUCCUCGAGGGACACAUAUAAACAUAUUAAAAGGCCAUCAUUUUAUUUGUCCUAAACGGUCUAUAUCUUUCCAUGGGGUCUUAAUCCAGUGAUAUUUAGGGUGAUUCCAUGCUAUGGUCCUUACAUAUAAGCUUUGAAGGGUACCUGGAUUCAGGCAUGGAUUGAACAUUGACCCAAUAUGGAACAACAACACAAGACAUCAUGAGUUUUUUUAAUAAUCGGAGAUCAUGAAAUAUAAGGAAACAUGAGAAGGGGAAACAAAACUGUAUUGGAUGCUCAACCCAGUUUUAACGGAAUUCAUGGGGAGGUUGAGGGUACCUCCGUACAUGGGAAUUGGUCAAAAUAUUUCUCCUUCGUUUUUUUUCUUCGUUGAAUUAAAACUAAAAAUAAAUAUAUUGAAUUUAUAAACGAAUGUGGUAUUACAUGUUUAUUUCACCUAUUUGACUUUCACUUUAGGCGAGAGUGUGUAACAGAAGCAUAAUAACAAUUUACUGAAUAACAAAUCAAAAUAUAAACUCUACUUUUAUGAAGCACCUAUAAGGCUAGACCUAACUAAUAAUGGAACAUAAAUAUGUCAUACUCCACAAUGGCAUCUCCUUUAGUGUAAUCAACGGAAUAAAAUUUAGCUUGAGCAUAACCACGUACAAAACGAAAAGCCCCAGUUCCACCAACAAUGGCCAUUUCUCUAACAGGUUCACUCAUGAUCAUAUUUCUACCCAAUAUGCUAAGUGUGCUUCCAUUGAAAUGUCCAUCAGUGAAUGUCAUGGUCAUCACCAUCAUUAGUCCCAUCUCCUCUUGUGAUAUAGAGGUGUAAAUUCCUUGAGCCUUACCCACAAGUUUUGAUUCACGUUCGGGUCCAGCCGUCAAGGGGUCAUCCAUCGCCACAACUGUCCCGAAUGGCAAGGCAUUUUUUACCUUGCCAUUGGGCUCAGCUACAAAUACCAUGCUAGGUUUUGGUCCUGACACGAUGUCGUGAAAGUAAAAAUGAAGGUGAGUGAAUUUCUCUUCUUGAAAACCCAGCAUUGUUGGGGAUAGGCUUUUAUAGUAAUUAGUGGCAGUGGCAAGGGAUAUUAUGGAGACGAAAGUAAGGUUCAAAGAAAUGAGAAUUGUGGAACAUGAUGAGAAUUUUGCCAUGGUUGAUGUGAAUGAACUAAGAAUGCUUUUUGUUGUUGUUGUUGAGGAUCGGAUAAUGAACUUAUAAGAAUGCUAUUACUAUGAAAAAUGUCUCUGAUCCGAUCAGUGGUAUAUUUCAAUUGGUUUGGAUACAUGCCUAUUUAUAUAAUAGGUGUGGCUGCUUCUUUCAUUUGUUUAUAAUAUUAUCUGUCUCAAGCUGAUGUUUCUUGACCAAAAACUUUAGAUAUAUGUCAAAAUACGGUAGAAAAAUGACAGACGCCAGAAACAUGUAAAAUGUUAGUUUUCUUAGCAAACGAAGCAUCCGAGAAAUAUAGUGAAAAAUUUAUAAGCUCAAUCAUAUUUUCUCAAAUUAAUUAUUAUUUUUUAGUAUAAAAUAAUUUGUCGUGUAAUCAAUAUGCUGAAACAAUUCUUCAUUGUUUGUGAGAUUAUGAAUUCGCAACCAUUUUCUGGAAAUCUAUUGGUUUUGUGGACCACCUAUUCUACCAAGGCGAUGACUUAUAAUAUGACUGGUUGCGGUAAGGAACGAUUGGCACCACUAUUUUUCUAUUUCUGGCUGCUUGUUGGUGGUUGUGGCGUGAGAGAAAUAAGUUGUAUUUUGCAAAUGAAUUGGUGUCUUCCUUCACCUUAAGGCACACCACUUUUAAUUAUAUGCUCAGUUGUUAUCGAAGUGUUUCCUUAAACAGGGGCAUGAAUCUGCCACGAGGUCGGUAAAGUGGAAUGUGUCCUAUGUGAAUGGCAUGAUUUUAUAUGUUGAUGGGUGCAGUCUUGGUAACCCCGGUGUCUCCGGGUUUGGCGGUUUGCUUCGUAAUGAUGAUGGUGCUUGGUAUUGCGGAUUUGCAGGUAAGAUUGGGUUUUCCAAUAUCCUGCAUGCAGAACUCUUGGCAGUUUAUCAUGGAUUGAGAUUGGCUUGGGAAUUUGGCAUGUCAGAGUUGGUGUGUUAUUAAGAUUCUAAAACAGCAAUCAAGUGGAUUAAGCAACCUGUUAACGGAAGGUAAUGUCUGUGUUGAUUACCUUGCAAAGAUUGAGGCUAGCUCUCAUGAGGCACGCCAGUCUUUUGUUGCACCUCCAGCUGGAAUCAGCAACCUCCUACUAGCAAAUGCGAGUGGGAUCUUUUUCCCUAGAUAGUUGUUUCUUCUUUUUGUUUUUCUUUUUGCAUUUUGUUACCAAAAAAUAAAUAAUGAUUUGAUAUGAGUAAAAUCAUUUAGGAUAAUUUUCAUUUCUAAAAAAAUGGGAUGACAUUAGUUAUAAUUGGGAAAGAAAAGUUAAAAAGUUUUGUAUUGAUCAAGAAUUCAAGACCCUCUCUAUUUUUUAAAGAAAUUGUGGGCUCUAUUUAUGAAAUGGAAAUACGCACUCAAGAAUUUAGUGGAUCUCAUAUUUAGCUGGACCUAUAUUUUGUGACUCAUCAAACUCCUUAAUGUGAUUUUUUCCGCUCAUUAACGAAACCAUCCAUUUCUUUGAGAAAUAAAGAUGAUAUUUUUACCAUCUUAAUCCAUUUGAUGGUACCCACCAAUUAAUAUCAUUUUUCGUGCUGAUAUAUCUUCAAAUGGAAUCAUUAAUUUCGUUUGAGAAAUGGAUAUGACCUUGUUGGAGCAAUAUUUAAGAAUGGUUCAAAAGUAUUUAAGCUACCGAGAAAAAUUACUGCCAUGAGUCGUCGACUAGGACACUCUUUUUAAAACUAUCAACUAUGACAUCCCAAUAUAAAACAACACAUCUACAAUUGUAUUUGAAUCAUACUACAUUGUAAGAUACUAAGAUCCAUUCUAGAAAUACACCUUUAAAAUGGUACUUAGACCACUUAAUAUGAUACCGAGACCACUCUAACUUCCGAAGGAACAAAUUAAUCGAAGGGGCAGAAAAGGAGAAGAAAGAAAAUCCGUUGAUAGAUGAGUUUUGGUGUGAAGAGAAGUUAGGGUGAGACAUUAUUUUAUUAGUGCAAGAGCCAAAGAGGCAACCAAAAUGGAGGGAUGGGAUCAGUUGACCAUCAUGGGAUCAACGACAUGAUCUCACCUCAUUAAGAAUUGGCGCAGAAAUGAGUUUGCAUUUGCAAAUCACAAGAGGACAAGAGGACUCACACGUUGGUGUUUUCAAACACAUGUUGAUGCGUGCAAACCUGUGACGAGAAGAAGACAUGUACCAAAUAAAAUUAAUUCCAAAAAAUUAAUUAAUUUAAGAUUUCGGAUCUUUAAAAAAUAAUACACAACUUAGUCCAAACUCAUGCCCAGAUCCGACCUGACGACAUCAUUGUCUUCACGUGUGUAGUGUUGAAAUUGAUUGCAUCAUCUCCCCUUUAAAAAAUUGGAUAUCUCUUUGGGGCAAGCCCCAAGAGCCCUUCCUCCAAUAUAUAAAUACUUGUGUUGUGAGAAGUAUCUCCAAUGUGGGACUUGUCGAAAUUUUUUAAUUCACACACAAACACACUUUUGUUCUUAAUUCAAUUUUUCACUUGAAUUUAAAAUAACUCGGAAGUUUCUUUUAAGAUUGUGCAUAAGUAGAUGUGUUUUGCAACUUGAACAAUUGUAUAGUGAAUAAGAUUCAGAUUUAUUAGAGUGACUCGUAAUCUUAAACUCUAUCUCUAAUAUCAAAACGUACACAAUAUUUUCUUAUGUGUAUUUUCAAAAAGUUUGUCCAUUAAGACCUUACAUAUCAAUCUUGAUUUAACAAAUGCUCUACGAAUUUUUCCUAGAAUUUCAUAGGAAUAGACCCUGACUUGCACAUUCACAAAGGUCCGUAUGUCAAGAGUACUGCUCUUAUAUCAGAGUAUUCCACUUUGCGUAAAUGUACGUAUGUCAAGGGUACUCUUGUAUCAAAGUACUCCACUCUACAUAGAGUAAAAAUCUCAUGAACAAUUUCCUUUAAUUCACGUCCUCUUUAUCGCUUUAGAAAUCAUGUUUUUAUGUUCUCCUUCUGUUACCUCACAACAUAUGUUUAAUCGCCUACUAAAAGCAUAAGUGAAUAGUUUCAUUGUUGAAUAAAAUAUUACAGAAGCAGAUAUAAUGUUUAAACCCACACACAAAAACUUAUAUAUGUUAAAAAAAUCACUAAACAAAAUAACUAAAAAAUAUGUCUUCAAAGAUAACUUUUCACUAGUAUGUAUAGUACGCUAUACCGACUCGUUAAAAUAGAAAUGGAAUAUCACGAGACUCACAAGUCACAAUGCUAGCAAUUCAAAUAAUGGUCCUUUGUCCCUUUGGAGGAAACACUAUAAUGAGUCUGAAGAUAUCUAUUUCUUUAGUGGUAUAUUAAAGUGACAAUAAUUAACAAUGUAUACUGAAUUUAAUAACCAAUGUGGUAUUACAAUGUUUAUUUCAUCGGUUUGCCUUUCACAUUGGGUGAGAGUUUGACAAGAACAAAAUAAUAAUAAAUGUAAAAUAAUCUCUACUUUUAUGAAGCACCUAUGCCUAACUAAUAAUGGAACACAAAUAUGUCAUAUUCUACAACGGCAUCUCCUUUUGUAUAAUCAACCGAAUAAAACUUAGCCUGAGCAUAUCCACGUACGAAACGAAAUGCCCCGGUUCCACCAACUAUGGCCAUUUCUCUAACAGGUUCACUCAUGAUCAUGUUUCUACCCAAUAUGCUAAGUGUGCUUCCAUUAAAAUGUCCAUCAGUGAAUGCCAUGGUCAUCACCAUCAUUAGUCCCAUCUCCUCUUGUGAUAUAGAAGUGUAAAUUCCUUGAGCCUUACCCACAAGUUUCGAGUCACGUUCGGGCCCAGCCGUCAAUGGAUCGUCCAUGGCCACAACCGUCCCGAAUGGCAACGCAUUUUUUACCUUGCCAUUAGGCUCAGCUAUAAAUACCAUGCUUGGUUUUGGUCCCGACACAAUGUCAUGAAAGUAAAAGUGAAGGUGAGUGAAUUUCUCUUCUUGAAAACCCAGCAUUGUUGGAGAUAGGCUUUGAUAGUAAUUAGUGGCCGUGGUAAGGGAUAUUAUGGAGAGGAAAGUAAGGUUCAAAGAAAUUAGAAGAGUUAUGGGGAAUGUUGAGGAUUUUGCCAUGGUUGUGUUAAUGAACUAAUAACUAUGAACUCAGAUCCGAUUGGUGGUAUAUUUCAAUUAGUUUUUAUACAUGCCUAUUUAUAAUAGGGGGUGGCUGCUUCACUUAUUUGUCUAUAGUGUUUGUUGCAACUUGCACCUCAAAUAGUUGAGUCAACACGCAUUAUUGUCUUUAACUUGUUUUUUUGACCAAAAACUUCUAGAUAUCAAAAUAUUAUGGAAAAAUGAUAGGCGUAGUUUGAGCAAACGAAGCAUCCGUGAAGAAGUAUAGUGGAAAAAUUAUAAAUAUAGCUCAACCAUAUUUACUCAAUAAGCAAUGAACUUUCCUUAAAAAAAGAAAAAAUGAACUUUGAGUCUAACCGAAGAGAUUAAACUUCCGUAACAAAAUCAUGUUUGAAUUUUGCUAAAAAAAAAAGGUACUCAUAUUUGGUAUCGAAUUAUAUCUCGAAAAACCUAAAAAAAAAAAAAAAUCACAUUACUUUUAAUCCACCUAAAUUUCUUUUAUUAUAAAAUAAAAUUGAAAGUAGGUGGCAUCAUAGCAUGAAAUGUCCCCAUCCAACGUUGGUUUUUAUGGCAGCCGUUGGUUUUUUACAGUUAUUUAUUUGUCUUGUACUGCAACUAAAAUAUUAAAAAAAAUUGGGCAAAACGUGAACACGUUUAUCAACUUAUAUUAUUUCAGUUUAUGUUUUUUUUUUUAUGAAAUGGUUGUUGAUGUCACAGUUACAUAAAACUAAUAAUAUUCAACUUGUUAUAAGUUAAGGAAAAAGCAAUGAUAUUUGUACAUUUCAUGAAAAUUUUAGUGACAAUAUUGUUUUUCUCUCUUUUUAUUGGUUAAAAACAAUGGAGAGAGAAAAAAGAAGAGUGAGGAUAAGACUAUCAUGUGAGUAUGAAAGAGAAAAUUGUACAAAAGUUGUCACAAAUUGGUUGUACAAAUAUCAUUUCUUUAAGAAAAAUGUAUCAUAGAUACUUAUAUAUUCGACUUAUUGAUUUGUCUUCUAACAAAUUUUUUUUUUUUUCUUUUUGUGGUGGCGUGGCCGGGGUUUGAACCCGAACCUUACAUAUAUUAAUGCAUUGUCCUUGACAACUGAGCUAAGCUUACGAGGACGUCUUCUAACAAACUUAAGAUGAGAGCCUAUAAUAAUUUCGGAGUUGAAAAACAAAAUAUGUUAUAUUUGUAGUGAAAAAAACUUAUUUAAACCUUUUCUUUUCUUUUUUUUUCUUUUCUUUCUCCGGUUAUCUUUAUGUCUACCAAGUUUUUUUUUUCUCCUUUUCUAUUAAUAUAUAAUACUCAUUUUAGAAAUUUGAUAUCUGGCUUGUGAGCAAGUAAUUUGGAAGAUCAAUUACAUCGUCUUCUAACGAGGUUAACACAAGAAUCGCUGGCUUCUGAAUGAUUCAAAUAUGAGACUACACUAUCAAACCAACCCUUGAUGUAAUUUUUAUAAAUAGUACUUGCUUAUAAUUGGUCACCUUGAACCGGUAGUGUCAACUUAUAGUAUUUUUAGUUUUGAGGUGAAAAUAAUUGAUUUUUAUAACAAAUUGAAUAUAAAAUGAUUUAUAUUUAAAUAUAUAUUUAUGUAAAAGUUUAUUCAACAAUUAAUUUAAAGUUAAAAUAAAUUUUAUAAAUCAAAGACUACAAAUUUCAACUUCAAAAAUCGAUUCUUCUUCAAAUCAUCCUAAUAUAAUAUAAUCAAUUCUACGAUCUCUGGUUGAAAAUAUUGCUCACUUUCUUUUAUUUGUUAUAUGUUUAAGAAUCGGUUGCUAACAUUGAAAAUUUAACUUCCUAAAAAACCACUAAAAAUUCAUUCAUUAUUCAAGACAUGCUAAGCCGUCGGAGGCUACUAUUGCUGCAUCGUGGCAAGUACAGUGUAUUUUCUUUGUUUGACAAGAAGCCAGGAGGUACGGUGUAUUUUAUUUAAUAUAGCAAUAGGUACAAUGAAUAGCUUUAAACUAUCAUUAUUAUCUUUGGGUCAAUUUUUUAAUAGAAAUGAUCUUUGGGUUAAUUUAUGAUAACAUUUAAACAACUCUCUCCCUUGUAUUCUUAUGUUACUGGCUAGAGCUCACAUUUAAAUGUGAAAAAGUGAGGUGUUCGAGGUUCGUACAUCAACCCCUGCAUAUAAUAUACAAUAUCUCUGUCAACUGAAUUAAGCUCACAGAGAUUCUCUUUAUUCUUUUUAUCAAUAAAAAGAAGAUUAAGAUUAUUUUAAAAUUGUCAUAAAAUGGUUGAAAAAUAUUUAUUAUUUCUCUUCUAUUAAAUUUAUUGGACAAACUAUCAUGAACAGUUAGGGGUGAUGUAAACUAUGAUAGAAAAAAGACAGCCGUAUGCACGAUCUAUUGUGUUUUUCUUUUGGUUUAAUUGCAGUUUUGAUCCCCCUAUUUUCACCAUUUUGCAGAAAUGGUCCCCCUAUUUUAAAAUUCGACAAUUUUGGUCUCUCUAUCAUAUUUUUGAAUUAUAAAUAUGUGAUGUGAUAAAUUUUAAAUGUCGUGGAAUAUGAUCUGAAAAUGAAAAAAGAUUAACAUCGAUAAAAUUGCAACAAAAUUCUCUUGAAAACUUCAUUUAAAAUAUAUCAUAUCACAAUAUUUUAGACAAAAAAUUUGAUAGAGGGACCAAAAUUGUCCAAUUUUAAAAUAGGGGGACCAAUUUCGCAAAAUGAUGAAAAGUGGAGGACCAAAACUGCAAUUAAGUCUUUUCUUUUUAACCUUCGAGUAUGGCAUUCUCUUGAAAAAUUCGUAUUUUUAUAAAGUUUAUUAAUAACUUGAACCUAAUUACAUUAUUUCUAUUGUGUAUUUGUAAUAUUUUUAGUUAGGAUCCGUUAACAUGUGUAAAUCCUUUUACUUACACCAAAUCUCAACCGUUAUUAUUAGGGGGAUGUAUAGGAUUAAGAUUCAAUGGGAUUUUAAAAGACUUUUUAAUUAUGAAAAAGUCUUGUGGUAUUCAAUCAAGACUUUUUGCAACUUAAAAAAAGUCUUGUGGUAUUCAAUCAAGACUCUUUGUCAUUUUAAAAAAGUCUUGAGGUAUUCAAUCAAGACUUUUCAUUACUUAAAAAAAGUCUUGUGGUAUUCAAAAUCAUUCAAAUUUCAAAGGAUUGUUUAAUAAAUUGAAUUUUGAUGGAUUUUGUAGUAUAAUUUUAACAAAAAAAAGUCUUUCAUGAAAAGAUAAGAUUUUUUGAGAUUGUUUUUCUUUUAAAAGUUACUAUCUCCUUCUUCUCCUUUCUCUCUCUCUCUCUCCCUCCCCCUCCUUAUUCUCUCCUUUCUCUCUCCAUUCUCUUUCUCUCUCUCUCUCUCUCUCAUCCCCCCUCUCUCCCUCUCUCUAUCUCAUAAAAAAAUAAAAAAUUGUAUUGAGAAUAUUAUUAUAGAGAGUAUGUCGUAAUCAAUGUUCCGCAAAUCGAGUGUUGACUCUCCGAGAUUAUCGAGUUUACGUUUUUAGGUACAAAAAUCGUGUUAACUCUAAGGUAAACUCGAUUUCUGGUAAAAUCGGAAGGUUUAACGUGUUUGACUGAGUUAACACUCGGUAAACUCGUGUAAACUCGACCGAUUUGUAGUGGCUGACACAAUAUUUUUUUUUUGAAAGAUUUGUAAGUGCUGACAUAAUUUUAAAUAUGUACAAUUGAAUUUUGUGGCAAUAACAUUUUUAAAAAAUAAAAAAUGUGUAUUGAGAAUAAUGUGUUAGUGUUUUUUUAGUCCCUUAAAAUCUUAUAAAAUCCAUAAAAUUCUUAAAAUUUGAAAAUCAAUAGUAAAAGAAUUUUUUAUUUGUUUUAUUUUUCUUUAUUCAAACGCUAGAAUUUAAAAUCUUGAGUGUAUAAAGUCUUUUACAUGAAAAGUCUUUUAAAAUUCUUUAAAAUCUUGAGUUAUAAAAUCUUUUACAUAAAAAGUCUUUUAAAAUCUCACAGAAUCAAUACAAUCUCACACAGUCCUUUUAAAUCUUAAAUUUUUUUUUUUAUUAAAAUAGUCUUUUAAAAUUCUAAUCCAAUACACCCCUUAGUUGAUAUGAUGCCUCAUAUUAUGUCCAAACAUAAACUUGUAAAGAGAAUAUGUAGCAUAUAUUUUCUACAUGUUGGCUCAUGUAGUAGUUUCUUUUCAACAUAUUUGCCCCCUUCUUCGCAUUAAUGGAUCCAAAUUGUUGUAUCUCAUGUGAAAUCAAUUGAUAUCUCUCGUACUUUAUAUUAGCAAUCUUAUUUAUACCUUUGUAAUUUCUGAGAUCAGAUUUGUUUUGAAGAAAUUAACAAUUAAAUUUACACCAGACAAAGCUAUUGAGAGAAGAAACAAGGGAGGGAAUAGAUUGGUAGAGGCCAAAUCCGCCACUGGUAAACUCAGCCACACAGAGAUAAGUGGGGGAGAGAAGAUGUGCCAUCAACGGUGGUGGUGCAAGGAGACGUAACGUAACCAUGAUUCUUCAAUUGAUAUCGUCUAAUUUUUAUUACGGUAACUUUUUAUUUGAAAAUUCAAGGAUAAAUGUUAAAAGACAAAUAAAUUAGACAGAGGAGAAAUCUACAAUCUAGAAAGUUGAGAGUUGACGAGAUCUCGUGUGAUAUUUUUAGUGGAUAAAUUUAAAUCUUUAUAUGCAUAUGCAUUCGCUUCUCGGUAUAGAUGAAUAAUUUUAAGAUAAGUUGUUACAGUCAAUUGUAGCCCCACUUUACGGUUGUAACAACUUCAUUUCAUUCAAGUUUUGUUGUUACACUUUGUGCACUUGAAUGAUCUUGUGUAAUUGACUUUCUUAAGACUUGCAGUGGUUGAUGAUGCACGACCUAGACUUGUAAUGGCCUUAGACUAGAGAUAGGCCCUUGUACCACUUCACCAUUAUAGAAACAUGCCAAAAAUUCUUGUAAUUUGUCUUGGUAUGUAUUUUAAUAAAAGUUUCCUUGUUUUUAUUCCUUGUUCUUUAUUCUAUUACUUUAGUUCACCAUUAUGAUGGUGAGUAGUCUUCUUCUUUGCCUUAAGAUAGUCAAGGAUGAACUUUCCAUGAUCCCUUUCUUUUCUUUUGUCGUGGGACUUCAAAAUUCUAAUAUAGCCUCAGUGACAGUGUUUUUAAGAAAACUCAAAGGCAACACCCAUUGUUGAAAGACAAUGAUGCUGCUCAAAAUGCAAGGCUAGACAAAUAUCUUGAAGUAAAAGAAUAACCUUAAGAAACGGGUCUUACCAAUACAGAAACCAUGAGAAUAUGGGACUAUGUUGGUAAAACACACCUUUUGUAUCAGAGAACAUAUGAUACUUUAGAGUUUACCCCAUCCUUAGGCAAUUAUUUCUCAUAAAACUAGAAAGGAUUGGAAUUUAGAAUUGUCUAUUGUUGUGAUGAAUUUCAAUGAUUCAAAGACAAUCUUUUAUAAAGAAAUAAGGAGAUCAUGAUCAAAUAGUGGUUACUACUAUUGUGCAAAAUAAAAUAAAAAGAUAGAAGAGAAAAAAGGGUGGUGCAUUUCUAAAAUAGCUAAUAAUAUGGGAAACCCACUUUAGAAUGCUUUACUAUUUGCACCCUUAACUAUAAGAUAAAUACCACCGAUUCACUAAUUCUAAAUCACUUAAAUACAAUAAAGUCAAUCUUAAACAAAUAAAUAAAGCAUAUAUUAUAGUAAUUUAAUUAAAAUGGUGGGUGUUGCACUUACUAUACAUUAUGAACUCUUAAAAUAAUUUAACUCCACCAGAAUAAAUCUUUGCAUAAAAAAGUUAUCCUUGUCCUUGAUUUAACUCUUAAAAAGCAUCCAUGUGAUUUUUUUAGCUGGAAAACAUUAUGAUACUUAUGUGGGAAAUUUAAAUAUUACUUUAGUUUAAAAAAAAGAGAGAGAAUGUUCAGGAAUUAAAACCGACAAAAUUAAACAAAAGUUAAAUUAGGAUUCUUCAUCUACAAGAAUUUAUUCUGGUAUCAUAAUGUUUAAUUCUCUCCUUUAAGAAUUCCUUGAGUUUUUAGAUGAUCCAAAAACUUUUUUUAAAAAAUUUGGUAUCAAAUGCAUGGCUAACUGUUCCGAAAGAUCCAAUCUCUCAUUGUCCAUUUGCAGGAGCUCUAUUUAAAAUUGUAUGGACUAACUUACCAAAACUGACACCGAAAAAUCAAACUUGAGACUUUAAAAAAACACACAUUUUCCAAACCAACACCAUUAGAUAACUAGAAACAACCCCUGUUGAUUAAAAAAAGGUUUAAUUAAGUUUUUAGUCCUUAUAAUUAUUCACAGUUUUAUUUUUAGUCCCUACAAAAUAAAAUCACACUUUUUAGUCUCUAUAAAAUUUUUCAUCAGCAUUUUUAGUCCUUAUAAAAUUUUCCAUCAACACUUUUAGUCUCUGGCAAAAAUUUUCAUCAACAGUUUUGGUCCC